ACUCAAAUGAAUAGACGGGGGCCCGCACAAGCGGUGGAGCAUGUGGUUUAAUUCGAUGCAACGCGAAGAACCUUACCUACCCUUGACAUCCUGCGAAGCCGACUGAGAGGUUGGUGUGCCGAAAGGAACGCAGAGACAGGUGCUGCAUGGCUGUCGUCAGCUCGUGUUGUGAGAUGUUGGGUUAAGUCCCGUAACGAGCGCAACCCUUGUUCUUAGUUGCCAUCAUUAAGUUGGGGACUCUAAGAAGACUGCCGGUGAAGAACCGGAGGAAGGCGGGGACGAGGUCAAGUCAUCAUGGCCUUUAUGGGUAGGGCUACACACGUGCUACAAUGGGGCGUACAGAGGGAAGCGAACCCGCGAGGGGGAGCGAAUCUUGAGAAAGCGCCUCGUAGUCCAGAUUGGAGUCUGCAACUCGACUCCAUGAAGUUGGAAUCGCUAGUAAUCGCGAAUCAGCAACGUCGCGGUGAAUACGUUCCCGGGCCUUGCACACACCGCCCGU
Molecule: ribosomal RNA, 499 nt
Filed under: uncultured bacterium
Lineage: Bacteria
Description: partial 16S ribosomal RNA
Rfam family: Bacterial small subunit ribosomal RNA
Source: RNAcentral